GGGUUCGUAGCUCAGCGGAUAGAGCGUUCGCCUCCGGAGCGAAAGGUCGAGGGUUCGAAUCCCUUCGAGCCCA
RNAcentral lists this transfer RNA (73 nucleotides) under Bifidobacterium scardovii. It matches the Rfam family "tRNA". Rfam says of the family: Transfer RNA (tRNA) molecules are approximately 80 nucleotides in length. Their secondary structure includes four short double-helical elements and three loops (D, anti-codon, and T loops). RNAcentral also lists the same sequence under 1 other name. The record is from Rfam by way of RNAcentral. Lineage: Bacteria; Bacillati; Actinomycetota; Actinomycetes; Bifidobacteriales; Bifidobacteriaceae.